RNAcentral lists this ribosomal RNA (857 nucleotides) under archaeon enrichment culture clone I23_3131. Its description in RNAcentral is "bacterial SSU rRNA". It matches the Rfam family "Archaeal small subunit ribosomal RNA", at positions 21 to 859 of the family's 1478-position model. The record is from RNAcentral.
CCCCACUGCUAUCGGGAUAGGACUAAGACAUGCUAGUCGAGUGACUCAGGCAAAACGAGUCACGGCACACAGCUCAGUAACACGUGGCUAAUCUGCCCUUGGGACAAGAACAACCCCGGGAAACUGGGGCUAACUCUUGAUAGGCGAAGAACACUGGAAUGUGUCUUCACCCAAAAAACUUCACGUUAUCCUCGUGAAGUCGCCCAAGGAUGAGGCCGCGACCGAUCAGGUUGUUGGCGAGGUAAUGGCUCACCAAGCCUUUUACCGGUGCGGGCCGUGGGAGCGGGAGCCCGGAGAUGGGUACUGAGACAAGGACCCAGGCCCUACGGGGCGCAGCAGUCGCGAAAACUUUGCAAUAAGCGAAAGCUUGACAGGGCUAUCCCGAGUGCCAUCCGCUGAGGAAGGCUUUUACCCAGUCUAGAACGCUGGGGGAAUAAGGAGAGGGCAAGUCUGGUGUCAGCCGCCGCGGUAAUACCAGCUCUCCGAGUGGUGUGGAUGUUUAUUGGGCCUAAAGCAUCCGUAGCUGGCUAAGUUAGUCCCUUGUUAAAUCCACUGAAUUAAUCGUUGGAUUGCGGGGGAUACUGCUUGGCUAGGGGACGAGAGAGGCAGACGGUAUUUUCGGGGUAGGGGUGAAAUCCUAUAAUCCCGGGAAGACCACCAGUGGCGAAGGCUGUCUGCUAGAACGCGCCCGACGGUGAGGGAUGAAAGCUGGGGGGGCGAACCGGAUUAGAUACCCGGGUAGUCCCAGCUGUAAACGAUGCAGGCUAGGUGUUUGGACGGCCACGUGCCGUUCUAGUGCCGCAGGGAAGCUGUUAAGCCUGCCGCCUGGGGAGUACGAUCGCAAGAUUGAAACUUAA